This 460-nucleotide ribosomal RNA is filed under the name uncultured bacterium. RNAcentral describes it as "partial 16S ribosomal RNA". It matches the Rfam family "Bacterial small subunit ribosomal RNA", at positions 338 to 795 of the family's 1533-position model. The record is from RNAcentral.
CCUACGGGUGGCAGCAGUGAGGAAUAUUGGUCAAUGGGCGUAAGCCUGAACCAGCCAAGUCGCGUGAGGGAUGAAGGUUCUAUGGAUCGUAAACCUCUUUUAUAAGGGAAUAAAGUGUGGGACGUGUCCUGUUUUGUAUGUACCUUAUGAAUAAGGAUCGGCUAACUCCGUGCCAGCAGCCGCGGUAAUACGGAGGAUCCGAGCGUUAUCCGGAUUUAUUGGGUUUAAAGGGUGCGUAGGCGGCCUUUUAAGUCAGCUGUGAAAGUCUGUGGCUCAACCAUAGAAUGGCCGUUGAAACUGGGAGGCUUGAGUGUGUUUGAGGCAGGCGGAAUGCGAGGUGUAGGGGUGAAAUGCUUAGAUAUCACGCAGAACCCCGAUGGCGAAGGCAGCCUGCCAAGCCAUGACUGACGCUGAUGCACGAAAGCGUGGGGAUCAAACAGGAUUAGAUACCCUAGUAGUC